Molecule: long non-coding RNA, 327 nt
Organism: Triplophysa rosa
Lineage: Eukaryota; Metazoa; Chordata; Actinopteri; Cypriniformes; Nemacheilidae
Exons: 4
Source: RefSeq, a predicted model, not a curated record
AUGUGUAGUCACAAGGACAAAUUCCGUCAAGAGCCCUCUUCAUGUCGUUCACGUAGACACAAACCAUAAGCUGAUAAGAUAUGGCCUUGUGAUAUUCGGUGCCAUUGAUGGGUACUCCAGAAAGAUCAUGUACCUUGGAGCUGCAACGGAUAACAAAGCAUCCACUGCCCUUGGUUUUUUCCAUCAGUCAGUGGAGAGACAUGGGUUUCCAUUAAGAGUUCGAGGAGACCAAGGAGUAGAAAAUGUUGAGAUCGCCAGGUGUAUGUUUUCUGUGCGAGGCAGUGGUAGGGGAAGUUGCAUGUCAGGACAAAGCGUGCAUAACCAGCG